GGGACGGGGGCGGGGAGCAACCGCUGUUCGUUGAUAAGAGAAAGAGUAAGAAUGAUACGUGCUUUCACGUCAGUCUCCAAAAGUCUCAAAUAACACCAGAAAAAGUCGCUAGAUUUGUCGCUAGUCGCUUUUUUGAAAAUGUGUCGCUAGAGGGGUCUGAAUACUCACUAAAUAUAGCGACUAAGUCGCUAAGUUGGCAACACUGAGCUCAAGAAACACAAGCCCAAUUUCCUCUCACUCUACAAGAACUCGGUAGGCCAGUUGAGAACAAGUUCUCAUUAACAACUGCAACCUGGCCAAGAUAAAGCAAAGCAGUGAGACAAAAACAACAUGGGAUAAAUGAAUGUACAGUCAAUAACACAAUAGAAACAGUAUUUACAGAGUGUGCAAAUGUAGUAAUAUUAGGGAGGUAAUGAAAUAAAUUGGCCAUACAGGUGAAAUAGCCUGUAUGGAAGAUUGCAGAGCAGAGGGAGAGUGCGGAAAAACCCAGUACAGAAGGCAUUGCCAUCCAGGGCCAGCAAGGGGCACGUCUCCUCCCUGAACAGCUGCUCACCGAGGCCUUCAUCCUGAGUGACCUCUUUGACAUCGGGGAGCUGGCACUCCUGGAGCUGCUGCUGGCAGUCACAGGCAUCAGAGAACUGGAAGGAAAGGCGGCCAAAUGAGGUGUUGGCUUUAGGGAUGAUCAGUGAGAUACACCUGCUGGAGCGUGUGCUACGGGUGAGAAACAACAACACCACUUCCCAGGUCUGAGUUGGGGGCUGGUUGCAGUGCUGCUCUACUGGGAUGGAAAGCUUUGUGUGGCCAACUCCCUGCGCUCGCCAAUCCAGUGCCUCCACUGCAAGACCUUCACCUUGGAACUAGGUGAGGAGCUGUUGGCCCUCACCACGCAUUUCGCUGAUGAGCCAGGGCCUGACGACAUGCCUACUGACGCUGGUAUCAGAGAUCAAUGUGAUGCGGGAGUUUGAGCGCCUUCAGUAAGAGCGUGGCCUGGGAAACGAGAAACAUAGGAAAGAGGUAUCUGACCUCAUCAAAGAGUGCCGACAGGCUCUGGCAGAUUGCCUGUUUGCAUGGGCCUGCCAAUCACCACUGGGUAAGGAUGACACCCUAGACCUUAUUGGCCACCUGGAGACCAUGACAUCGGAAGCUGAUGGCUCAUUGGACAGCAUGAACCUGGCUCUAGUCAUGGCACUGCUUUACUGUUUGGAUGUCAGCUUCCUAGAACAAGGAACAGAAGACAGAGAAGUCAUCUGGUGGAGGGGGUGCCCUGGAAGCUGCAAGGGCUGCAGGCCAUGUGUCGGUUGGCCUGGGCCCUGGCCCUGCGUGCCCUCUCCCAGCUGUCCCAGGGCUCAUCCCUGGUGGAGUUUAGAGGCACAGGCUGACCAGGCCCUGCUAGGAGGUGUCUUCCUCUUCAUGACAGAGGGCAUGGUGGGAUGUGAGUUCUAAACCCGCCGCCUCCAUUUCCUCAUCACUGACUUCCUGGCUCUCAUUCCCAUGAAGAUGAAUCAGCUGUGAACCCAUGCUGAUGAGGAUGCCCGUCUGGUGCACAUGUCUCUGCAGAUGGGCAGUGAGCCUCCGUCCUCCCUGAGGAAAGACCUGGACCACCUCAUGAUCCUGAUCGGAGAGUUCUCUAGCAAGGACCCGUUUGGGAUGGAGCUGGCUCUGGAGUUCUGGUGCCCCACUGAGUUCCUCCAGGGUUCCUACCCGGGCAUGGCCAUGCAGAGGCCUCCACACACUACCAGGUGUGCUGAGGUGCCCACAAAGCUGCCUGCAUGCCAUCCCGAGUCUGCUGCAGAGAGGCAGUGAGAGACGCUUGGGUCCCGUGCUCACCAUCCAGGCACCACACCUGGCUGUGCUCUGUUAUCAGGUGAUCUACCAGCUGUGUGCGUUCUGGGGCACGUCAGGCCCCACCAUGCGAUACCUGAGGACCGACCAAGACUUCCUGUUCUCAUCUGCAGCUCCUGCCCUUCAUUCUACCAAGUGAGCUCUUCACUGUCAUAUCAAUACAGUGUGCUCCUAUCCUGGUCUUCUCUCCGUCAUCUGCAAUGAUCUGAAAACACAGGAUAGGUGGGAGAAAUAUGGCAGAUGCCAACCAGAGCAUUUGUACUCCUACAGAAACCCAGUUGUCUUUUUUAACAGAGCUGCCAGAGAGAAACUACUCCGGGUGUCAAUCUUCUCUCUAAACUGUGUCUCUCCCCCUACACUCUCAUGUGAUGAGAGCUCCACCCUGUCCCAGAUAUCCUGGCUUAUGAAGGCAACGGCCAUCGAGCUCAGUGACAUCACUCAACCGCCAGCACUCACACACCCAGCGCCUCCUCAACCUUCUGCUGGACGACUAGCCUCACACUCUGCACGCAGAUAAGACCUACUACUCACUCACUCACUAUGCACCCACACACUAUGAAAGUUGGAUGCAUUGGAUGUAUUGUCAUUCACUGAUGUAAAUGGGAUACGAUGAAAUGUGCAAAAAGCAAAAUCCUUCAGUUAGUCUGUUUCUUUGAUUAGCUGAUGAGGAGACGGGCAUGGAGGAGGAGUCCAAAUCUGUCAGCUGAUUCCUGCACUUUGACACCGUCUCCAAAGCUGUGUCUGUGUCUGGUACUGGAGUAGAGAGUCCAGAGGAGCCUCCUGGUCCAGAUUAUCAACAACAGGGCCAAGCUGCUGGCCUUCUGCUCCUAUGUGAUUGAGACCUGCCUGUUUGUACUUUGGCGUCACCUGGAGUACAACCUGUUGUACUGCACCCCCACCGACCCCCAAGGACUCCCUGAUGCCUGGAGCCAGCGAGGUUCUCCCCAGGCUAACCCUGUCUGGAGAUUGAGAUCAGACUGGCUUUUGGUAGAAGUCACCCUUAAUCACAGAUCUAGAAUGCGAUAACGCUACCCUCUAGCCUAACCUUGAUCAUGAGGGGAAUGAAAAAUUAGACCCUGUUUCAGUGGGCAUCGUCCAACUCCAGAUGACUGCAGGAAAUGUGAUGUUAGUGGUGCUUCCCCAGACUCAUUUGGACGUGCCCUGGGUCUGGCCAGUCAACCAGCAAGAGCAGCUGCAGAGUGACAUGGGGGGCUGGCUUUGGGGAGGCUCUACAGAGGAAGCUGCAGAGUGACAUGGGGGCAGGCUCUACAGAGGAAGCUGCAGAGUGACAUGGGGCAGGCUCUACAGAGGAAGCUGCAGAGUGACAUGGGGGCAGGCUCUACAGAGGAAGCUGCAGAGUGACAUGGGGGCAGGCUCUACAGAGGAAGCUGCAGAGUGACAUGGGGGCAGGCUCUACAGAGGAAGCUGCAGAGUGACAUGGGGGCAGGCUCUACAGAGGAAGCUGCAGAGUGACAUGGGGGCAGGCUCUACAGAGGAAGCUGCAGAGUGACAUGGGGGCAGGCUCUACAGCUGCAGGAGGUGGAGGGACUGAACAGCCAGGUCCGCUCCCAUUCCACCUUCAUCCAGGCCCUGGUACGCAGGAUACAAGGCCUGCUCCACCAGCCCAAGAGCUGAAACAGUCAACGACCAAUACAACAAACAAGACCUAAAACCUGUGGAACAAUGUUCACCUAAAGAGUACACCAGGCCAAGGAUAUGGACAUUCCAGAACCAGACACACCUGAUCUUGAGAAUUCUAUUUAAACCAGACUCGACUUCCCCUAUUCACUUCAGUCUAUUCUACUGGCCUCUACUGUCCUCCGUCUCUCCUAAGAUGGGCGCUUAGUCUAACUGAUGUAGUUUGCCCAAUAUUUUUUUAUUUUCUUCACAAAACACACCUUUUGGUGUAAUGAUUUUCCAAUGAUUUAUUGAUUUUAUUGUAGGGCUAUUCAACUCUUCGUGGUCUGGAGACUGUUUUUUUUUGUUUUGUUCUCCCUGAUACUUAAUUGCACCCAGUCCAUGAUUAGAGGGGAAGGAUAAAAAAAAAGUGGUACUGGCUUUGAGGUCAAAGGGUUUGUCUCAUCUUUUGUAACAUGACUCAUUUGAGUGACUUAUGAUCAGAGGAAGCAGGAAAGGUAACCAAAACGGGCCUCUGCACUUUCUGCAAUGGUCAACAUGCCCAGUAGUGAAAGUAGAAUUGGUUCACAAAGCAACCAGUGACACACUUCCAUAAUACUUAAACU
Molecule: long non-coding RNA, 4085 nt
Organism: Oncorhynchus keta (chum salmon)
Lineage: Eukaryota; Metazoa; Chordata; Actinopteri; Salmoniformes; Salmonidae
Exons: 13
Source: RefSeq, a predicted model, not a curated record